GGCUGUAGCUCAAUUGGUAGAGCACCGGUCUCCAAAACCGGCGGUUGGGGGUUCAAGUCCCUUCGGCC
Molecule: transfer RNA, 68 nt
Filed under: marine eukaryotic metagenome
Rfam family: tRNA
About the family: Transfer RNA (tRNA) molecules are approximately 80 nucleotides in length. Their secondary structure includes four short double-helical elements and three loops (D, anti-codon, and T loops).
Source: RNAcentral